GAAAUCAUACAAUGAAUUAAUCACGACAUGUAUUUUAAAGUCAAUCCUUAGGAAAGAUACUAAGUAGCUAUUACAGCUGAACCAAAAAAUUACAUAUGUAAAUUUAAGCUUUAUUAUUAACAACUUCAUUACCAGAUUACUGCAAAACUAUUUAAAUGAAUUUUUGCCUUUAAAUUGAGAACUAAAAUGUAAAAUAUUUUCUCAUUGAUAACAAUUAUGAAAAUACAGAAAAAUGUUAAUAUGCCUGAUGUUCUGACCAUUUGGGGAUCCCUGAGGACAAAUUUGGCAUUUGUAUAUCAUUCAGAUUUAUGAAAUU
RNAcentral lists this long non-coding RNA (316 nucleotides) under Bos taurus (domestic cattle). RNAcentral's name for it is "long non-coding RNA NONBTAT017305". The record is from RNAcentral. Lineage: Eukaryota; Metazoa; Chordata; Mammalia; Artiodactyla; Bovidae.